AUGGGCACGCUUCUCCGCCGCGUCCUCCUCUCCCUCGCGCUCCUCGCCGCCGCCGCGGCCCCCGGCGCGGCGGCGGCGGCGGCCAGGCUGUCGACGUCGUACUACAGCCGCAGCUGCCCCCGCGCGGAGCAGAUCGUCUCGGACGUGGUCGCCGCCAAGCAGCAGGCCAACCCGUCCACGGCGGCGGGCACGCUGCGCCUCUUCUUCCACGACUGCUUCGUCUCCGGCUGCGACGCCUCCGUCCUCGUCUCCCCGCUCUCCUCCGACCGGACCCCGGAGCGCGCCGCGGAGAUCAACCUCUCCCUCCCGGGGGACGCCUUCGACGCCGUGGCCCGCGCCAAGGCCGCGCUGGAGGCCGCCUGCCCGGGCACCGUCUCCUGCGCCGACAUCCUCGCGCUGGCCGCGCGCGACCUGGUGGGGAUCCUCGGCGGGCCGCGCUUCCCCGUCCCCCUCGGCCGCCGCGACGCGCGCCGCUCCGACGCGCGCGACGUGGAGGGCAACCUCCCGCGCACCAACAUGUCGGCGCGCGCCAUGACGGUCCUGUUCGCGCGCAAGGGCAUCACGCCGCAGGAGAUGGUGGCGCUGGCGGGCGCCCACACCGUGGGCUUCUCCCACUGCUCCGAGUUCGCGCACCGGGUGUACAACUACAAGGGCAAGGGCGGCGGCGCCAGCGGGCACGACCCGUCGCUGAACCCGGAGUUCGCGCGGGCGCUGCAGAGCUCCUGCGCCGGCUACGAGAGCAACCCGGACAUCUCCAUCUUCAACGACAUCGUGACGCCGCGGGAGUUCGACGAGCUCUACUUCAAGAACCUGCCCCGGGGCCUGGGGCUGCUCGCCUCCGACGCCGCGCUGUGGGAGUACCCGCCCACCAAGGUGUUCGUCCAGCAGUACGCCGACAACCGGACCGCCUUCUUCCAGGACUUCGCCAAGGCCAUGCAGAAGCUCGGCACCGUCGGCGUCAAGACGGGGCGGCAGGGCGUCGUCAGGCGGCAGUGCGACAUCCUCGACUAG
RNAcentral lists this ribosomal RNA (1011 nucleotides) under Triticum aestivum (bread wheat). Its description in RNAcentral is "partial small subunit ribosomal RNA". The record is from RNAcentral. Lineage: Eukaryota; Viridiplantae; Streptophyta; Magnoliopsida; Poales; Poaceae.